This 403-nucleotide ribosomal RNA is filed under the name uncultured archaeon. RNAcentral describes it as "bacterial SSU rRNA". It matches the Rfam family "Archaeal small subunit ribosomal RNA", at positions 988 to 1388 of the family's 1478-position model. The record is from RNAcentral.
UGGUGCAUGGCCGUCGCCAGCUCGUGCCGUGAGAUGUCCUUGUUAAGUCAGGUAACGAGCGAGAUCCNUGCCUCUAGUUGCCACCAUUACUCUCAGGAGUAGUGGGGCGAAUUAGCGGGACCGCCGCAGUUAAUGCGGAGGAAGGAAGGGGCCACGGCAGGUCAGUAUGCCCCGAAACUCUGGGGCCACACGCGGGCUGCAAUGGUAGCGACAAUUGGUUUCGAAUCCGAAAGGAUGAGGUAAUCCACAAACGCUACCACAGUUAUGACUGAGGGCUGCAACUCGCCCUCACGAAUAUGGAAUCCCUAGUAACUGCGUGUCAUUAUCGCGCGGUGAAUACGUCCCUGCUCCUUGCACACACCGCCCGUCGUUUCAUUGAAGUGAGCUUUUAGCGAGGUGACGU